This is a long non-coding RNA of Nothobranchius furzeri (turquoise killifish), 2976 nucleotides long. RefSeq lists it as uncharacterized. NCBI's taxonomy places the organism in Eukaryota, Metazoa, Chordata, Actinopteri, Cyprinodontiformes, Nothobranchiidae. The record is from RefSeq and is a predicted model, not a curated record.
CCCCACAAUGCCGCUCAGAAAAUGGUCCCAACCCGGAAGUAAGAAAAAUUGCAGUUCCACCCUCAUCCGCUGGGGGCUGGUACCAGAAGCGAGCAAAUCCUCAUUGACUCCCAUGUUAAAAAUGCCAUUUUCACAGCAGAAAUAAACAUGUUUACAGCCUGGUUCAAAAAAUGUUUUUUUGUCUAAAUUAUCUAGUUUAUACUCAUGACAACUCUGAGGGGGGUGAAUUUUUUUCUCACUCUUCUGUUUAAGUGUAUUGAAAGCCUAAAAUUCUGUAUAAUUAAUGAGCAUCCGACACACGUGACCGCCGCCUCAGACCCACGUGACCACAGAGCUAGCUCCGUGGAAAGGCCUCAGUACAGCCUCGGUCUCUCCUGGAAACUGUGUCGGGAUUUUGAGUCUCUGUGCUUGUGAAUUCUGUUUUGGAUAAUAUUGGUGCAAUUGUUGGACAAAAUGACUUGCUGUGGUAUUAAUUGCACUAAUAGAGCGUCCAAGGAGUCUCCACUUCAUUUUUUUUGGGAAGGACCUGAUUGGUGUCCAGAACCUGCUGAAGAAGCACGAGGCUCUGCAGGCUGAGAUCACAGGUCAUGAACCUCGCAUCAAGGCUGUCACCCAGAAAGGAGAGACCAUAGUGGAGGAAGGUAGAGCAGGUCUGGUCCUGACAUGUUUCUGAGGUGUCUGCAGGUUCUGGCUCACUUUGUUUGGGUCCAGGUCACUUCGCUGGUUCAGAACCCUCGGCCCGUCAGAACAUUCUUAUCCACCACGUUCUAACACCAGACCUGUUAACCCGACAGCAACAAGUGGCUCCAACUGACGAUGAGACCGGGAAGGAGCUGGUUCUGGCUCUGUACGACUACCAGGAGAAGAGUCCUGGAGAGGUCACCAUGAAGAAGGGCGACAUCCUCACGCUGCUCAACAGCACCAACAAGGUUGUUUUACUUGAACUCGCGUCUUUAGCUGAAUGAGGAUGGAGAGACGGGUCAGACCUGGAGCAGGUCGAGGUCUUGCAGAAGAAGUUUGACGACUUCCAGAAGGACCUGAAGGCCAACGAGUCCCGCCUGAGGGACAUCAACAAGGUGGCAUCUGAACUGGAGUCAGAAGGUCUGAUGGCUGAGGAGGCUCCUAUGGUUCAGGCUCAGCAACAAGAACAUCUGGGUUCUGCUCCUGGAAAGGAUGAAGCCGACUCUAACCCCGGCUUUCCACAGGAGUCGUCAGCAGCACGUUACUGCAGCAGCACGUCAUAGCUGCUGAUAGGAACCGCUGUGGUCAACAGAACCUUUUCCACCGGAGCCGUCAGCAGCGCGAGUCGGCCACGUCUCAGGAGCAGCAUGUCGCGGCCCUUACGCGCCGGUUCUAUUUUCUACGCGCGACGCCUCUGAAACGAGUCAAGUUCGACAUUUUUGGGGAAGGAAAGACAGGAAAUCGGACGCGGAAAUUGAGAGAAGCUACCGAGAUUUUCAGAAUAAAGAACGUACUGCCUUCCGGUUGCUUUACUUUUAAAAAAGGUUACUAACUGAGCGGCCCCGUGAGAAGUUAUCACCUAGCUAGCGGUCUCCUUUGUUUUUCAGGUCCGUAUUGGCGAUUAUAAAACGGACAGAACAUAAAACACAAACCAUGUUGUAGUUUUCUCCUGCUUGUUGUUGUGUUUACUGACGAAGUCACUCGUGUGACUUCAUGCUCGGUCGGUGACAGCUGCUCCCCUGCUGCUUCGCGUCUCGUGGGAAGGGCCGAGCAGCAGCUUACGCGAGCAAGACGUGCUGCUGCAGUAACGUGCUGCUGACGGCUCCCGUGGAAACCCGGGGUAACACGGCGUCACCCUAGAAGGAAUUCAGGUGACCCGGCAGGCACCAGGUGCUGGUGAAAGUGGGGACAUGUCAGCUGGUUGCCAUGGCUACAGUUAUCUUUAUGCAUCUGUAUGACUGCUGACUGGUGUGUGUUUCCUGUGACCUUUGACCUCAGACCGUACGGUUGGGCGUUCAGACGACGGCUAACUUUAAUUCCAUCAAGGAGCUGAACAACCGCUGGCGCUCGCUGCAACAGCUGGCUGAAGACCGGAGCAACAUGCUGGGCAGCGCCCAUGAGGUGUAGCGCUUCCACAGAGACGCUGAUGAGACCAAAGAGUGGAUCGAGGAGAAGAACCAGGCCCUGAACACAGACAACUACGGCCACCACCUGGCCAGCGUUCAGGCUCUGCAGCGUGAACAUGAAGGCUUUGAGCGUGACCUGGCAGCUCUGGGUGAUAAGGUCCGCUUCCUGAUCGGUACCAGGACCCGAGUUGUCUCUGGAGACACGUUCUUCAUGGUUCUGGUGACUCCACCCCAGCCGUUCCUGAUCAGUGAUCAGCGGGGUGCUUUCCUAUUUAAGGUGGAUGGAGGACACAAUUUGACGCCAGAAGAUUGCCUCAGUUUUGGAUUCCUGUCGACCUCAUUGGAUACUGACCUCUACUCCAGGAUUUGGAUAUUCAACACACGGACCUUAUCACCACCCUCCAUAACCCACCUCUCAUCUCACCCAGUGCCCCAUCCACCAGGACGCCCCGCUUCUCUCCACCUCUGCUCUCUCUCCUGCGCUUCCCCCCGGCUCUCUACCUCUCCCUCCUCCAGCCAACACAUACACCCCCCACAAUGCUGAGCUGUUGUUGCAGUUCCAACCACAGACUUAUCUGUGCACCUUAAGUUCCACCUUAUAAAUAAAUCAUUUUUUCCAUCAGUUUUUGGUCAGUGUUGUAUUCUGCAUGUCUUGGGUUAAGUACCUUCCUCCAAACAUGACACUCCUCUUCAAAGAGCAAAUCUGUUCAGCACAUUCUGACAGACAGACCACCAUUCUUCUGUCAUGAUGCUGUACAGGACAUUUUUAGAGUUUUUCUUUUUAAAGAUAAAUAGGAUUACAUUUAAAUAGCAAUACUUUCACAUUAUCAUUUUCCCACACUUCUGUAUAACUGUAUUUUGUUGUUUUUCAAUAAAGAAUGACAAAUUA